ACCCCAAACCGACACAGGUGGUCAGGUAGAGAAUACCAAGGCGCUUGAGAGAACUCGGGUGAAGGAACUAGGCAAAAUGGUGCCGUAACUUCGGGAGAAGGCACGCUGAUACGUAGGUGAAGUCCCUCGCGGAUGGAGCUGAAAUCAGUCGAAGAUACCAGCUGGCUGCAACUGUUUAUUAAAAACACAGCACUGUGCAAACACGAAAGUGGACGUAUACGGUGUGACGCCUGCCCGGU
Molecule: ribosomal RNA, 239 nt
Filed under: Escherichia coli
Lineage: Bacteria; Pseudomonadati; Pseudomonadota; Gammaproteobacteria; Enterobacterales; Enterobacteriaceae
Description: partial 23S ribosomal RNA
Rfam family: Bacterial large subunit ribosomal RNA
Source: RNAcentral